CCUGCUGGGUCCUUCCCGAGCUGCCCUUUAGAAAUGGCAGUGCUCUGUGGCUGUGCUCCCCUACCGUGAGCCCCUGCAGGUCCCCGCAAAGCACGGGUAUAAACUGGUGGAUGCUGGAGAGACAGGACUGGCCAGCAGCUCAGGCCCUGAGACUGUGGGUCUCAUCCCCACCUCCCGGCCACUGGGACCAUGAAAUCAAGACGAUCACCUUCUGGGGGUCUAAUAACCACAUCACUUUUCGGCCUGUCCCCAGGAACGUGUCACUGAGAAAGUGACCACACGACGCCUGGCAAGUAGGACAGUGGGGCUGAGAACGAGGCCUGAGGCCUGGGCAGCAGACUCCAGCUCGCAACGGGGCUGCAACCCCACGUCCUGGUUGCCAUUCAGGCAUCGCUCGAUGUGGAACGGCAGACGAAUCCGUAUCAUGGGCCUGUGUGUGGCCCUUUACAAGCACGUGCUAUAGCGAGUGCCUCCGGGCUGAGGGGAAUUAAAAUAGAAAGGGUCCCCUAGGUGUUGGAAAGAACCCCGGGACUGGCGUUUAGGAAGUCUGAGAGGGUAUCAGGCUGGCUGCAGACAUAUUCACUGUUUAAAUUAAGACGCCAGAGGGUCCCUAGAUCAGUGGGCUAAGGAGCCACCAACAGGGUCGUUUCAAUGGCUAUGACACCCUCAGAAGCAUCUGCAGAAGCUGC
Long non-coding RNA from Balaenoptera musculus (blue whale), 689 nucleotides. RefSeq lists it as uncharacterized. The transcript is spliced from 3 exons. Lineage: Eukaryota; Metazoa; Chordata; Mammalia; Artiodactyla; Balaenopteridae. The record is from RefSeq and is a predicted model, not a curated record.